Molecule: Y RNA, 108 nt
Filed under: Saimiri boliviensis boliviensis (Bolivian squirrel monkey)
Lineage: Eukaryota; Metazoa; Chordata; Mammalia; Primates; Cebidae
Description: Y RNA (ENSSBOG00000012326.1)
Rfam family: Y RNA
About the family: Y RNAs are components of the Ro ribonucleoprotein particle (Ro RNP), in association with Ro60 and La proteins. The Y RNAs and Ro60 and La proteins are well conserved, but the function of the Ro RNP is not known.
Source: Rfam by way of RNAcentral
AUCUAGGCUGAAGGUAGUGAGUUACCUCAAUUGAUUGUUCACAGAUCAAACUCAAUUCCUUAUUCCAUUCUUUCCCUCCUUCUCACUACUGCACUUGACUCGUCUUAA